Lingula anatina is the source of this 616-nucleotide long non-coding RNA. The record is from RefSeq and is a predicted model, not a curated record. NCBI's taxonomy places the organism in Eukaryota, Metazoa, Brachiopoda, Lingulata, Lingulida, Lingulidae.
GNACGGCGGAAGUAGUCAGUCGCGUUGUGAUCGUGCGCAGGUAGAGCUCUGUUGCAUGUGGGCGAUUUCAAGAUGCCAUUAAAAUGGGUCAAGGCCCGCAGGAGAAAAAAUGAAGAGCAAAAUCUGGCAGCAAAAUCUUAAGAUAUAUGUUGCAAUGAAAGUGAUUCUGAUGACGAUGUACCUCUGUCAAGUUAACUCGGUGCUACUCAAGAACCUGACAGGCACAUUGAUAUUUCAGUAAAUGGACCACCUUGAAACUAGCCAUAUGUUGUUCUUCAUGAAAAACAAAUAUAUCACUAUAAAUUGUCUCCCUUCUGUAAACUCUGAAGUUUAGUUUACUGUCAAGUCUAGGUUUGAAUUAGUCAGUAGUGCUCUUAACAAUAGAUAAAUAUUAUCAUCACGUGCAUAAUUUUUAUUGAAUGAGAUAUUCAUGUUGAAACAAGUCAAAAUAGGGGGAAAAUGCUAUAAUUCUUUGUCAUGUGAAACUAGUACUCCUAAAUAAAUUACGUAUCUGUUGUGAUUGUGUAACAGUCAGUGGUAUCUAAAGGUGUUAACAUUUUUAUUUGCAUUUCAUCUGUGCCUUAUUAAAUCUAUAAUAAAAUGCUUAUGAACAGAA